This 80-nucleotide transfer RNA is filed under the name Lentinula boryana. RNAcentral describes it as "tRNA-Glu". It matches the Rfam family "tRNA". Rfam says of the family: Transfer RNA (tRNA) molecules are approximately 80 nucleotides in length. Their secondary structure includes four short double-helical elements and three loops (D, anti-codon, and T loops). Further hydrogen bonds mediate the characteristic L-shaped molecular structure. tRNAs have two regions of fundamental functional importance: the anti-codon, which is responsible for specific mRNA codon recognition, and the 3' end, to which the tRNAs corresponding amino acid is attached (by aminoacyl-tRNA synthetases). tRNAs cope with the degeneracy of the genetic code in two manners: having more than one tRNA (with a specific anti-codon) for a particular amino acid; and 'wobble' base-pairing, i.e. permitting non-standard base-pairing at the 3rd anti-codon position. Lineage: Eukaryota; Fungi; Basidiomycota; Agaricomycetes; Agaricales; Omphalotaceae. The record is from RNAcentral.
UCCGAUAUGGUGUAGUGGUUAACAUUAUCGCCUCUCAUUGAAGACCGCGAUAGCCCGGGGUUCGAUUCCCCGUGUCGGAA